UUGGUGACUAAAUUUGGUUAAGGAAGAAGGGUUAGUUAUUGUAUGAAAUUGUGAGAUUAAGGGCACUGAACAUGAAGAAGUGAAGUGGAGCAGUGGCAGUCCAAUAUGGAUCAAAAAUAUCUGCAGUAAAGAUCUUCACCCACUACGGACUCCAUGGGUUUCCAGGGAAUGUUUGGAUAAGUGAAGGCUGGUAUGAGGUAGGGUCGUGAGACUUGGUUUACUAGCUAAGGACUGUAUUGAACUUGUACUAGAUUGAUCACAACAGACACAUCCUCCUGUCUGCUUGUUGUCUUGUGCCCAGCCGUGGAUGAGGUUCAUCACCCCUGCGUUUACCUCCUAUGUGUUGUCCAUGCACUCCUGCUACGUGUCCAUAAUCGUGGGGCUGCUGGCGUCCCCGGCGUCCUCCUCCAUCAUGUCCUGGCCGAGCUCUGGAACAUCUGUCUCCCCAUCCCUUUGCUUAAAUACUGCUGCUGUAAUCCCUGCUGUUCUCAAGUUUUAGUUGCUUCACUUGGUGUCUUAGCGGUUCGUGUUUGUAAGUCUAAGCUCCUCUUCCCAGCCACCAACUCGAUCUGCCCUAGUCUUCCCAUCUCCUACUUAAGUCAUGGUCCAGUAGGCCGUGCAGUCCUAGAGCUCGAGUGAUCUCCUUGGCUGUUGUAGCCUAUGUUUCCCCGGAGUUAAUCCCCUCCCAAUAUCUUGGUCCAUCUGCCCAGAGCUUGGUGUACCAGUCCCUAGGUGGUGACCAUCGUCGGCAGUUAGUCCACCUCGUCGUGACCAGAAUUCCCAGAAGAAGAAGAUGAAAUUCAAGAAGUGGUUUCUGAAGAGGAGUCUGCUUUAGUGCCUGCUCAUCAAGUGAUGGGAGCCAUCUAACUGGGGUUUAAUAGAGGGAUUUAGACCUCCGUCUCUGCAACAAAGGCAAGCCCCGGUGCAUUUGCCACCUUCCUUGUAUUACAAAAUUUUAUCACUUAUAUGCUGCAUUAGGUAAUAGGAGUUGAAUGAUUAAACACUUGAUGUAUAACCAUCCUUGAAAGAUUGAUUAUCAUACCUUGUUACCUGUUUUAUAAAAACUAGUAAUGCUUAGUUAUGCUUAUAGAUUAAGAAAAAUGUUUUUGAUC
This is a long non-coding RNA of Zea mays, 1112 nucleotides long. RefSeq lists it as uncharacterized. NCBI's taxonomy places the organism in Eukaryota, Viridiplantae, Streptophyta, Magnoliopsida, Poales, Poaceae. The transcript has 2 exons. The record is from RefSeq and is a predicted model, not a curated record.